Molecule: ribosomal RNA, 409 nt
Filed under: bacterium enrichment culture clone ALO1_GLFRUDD03F4QMK
Lineage: Bacteria
Description: bacterial SSU rRNA
Rfam family: Bacterial small subunit ribosomal RNA
Source: RNAcentral
GAGUUUGAUCUUGGCUCAGAUUGAACGCUGGCGGCAUGCCUUACACAUGCAAGUCGAACGGCAGCACGGGAGCUUGCUCCUGGUGGCGAGUGGCGAACGGGUGAGUAAUGCAUCGGAACGUAUCCUGGAGUGGGGGAUAACGUAGCGAAAGUUACGCUAAUACCGCAUAUUCUGUGAGCAGGAAAGCGGGGGACCUUCGGGCCUCGCGCUCUUGGAGCGGCCGAUGUCGGAUUAGUUAGUUGGUAGAGGUAAAGGCUCACCAAGGCGACGAUCCGUAGCAGGUCUGAGAGGAUGAUCUGCCACACUGGAACUGAGACACGGUCCAGACUCCUACGGGAGGCAGCAGUGGGGAAUUUUGGACAAUGGGGGCAACCCUGAUCCAGCCAUGCCGCGUGAGUGAAGAAGGCCU